GCCCCUAGGUGAGAGUGGUUGCAAAGUACCAUCGGGAUUGCCGUAACGCGAGGUAGCCAUGUUGGACAUCGAAUAUACUUGUAUGGGUAGACGUCAAAGAGCAUGAUAAGGGAUUUCUUUAUCGUAAACGAGUGGUUAAAGCGUGAUUGGAAGUCUUUUGAAUUAUAAUUUCAUUUGCGAUCUAGACUAAUAUUUUGAGUUUGAACUACAUCUAUCUGAAUAUAGAAUCUACUCUAAAACCAAUAGUACGGAUCAAAAUAACCUUGAAGGGUAAACAAAAGAAACUGAAAAAUUCUAAAGCUGUAUCCACACCGGAUUGCUAUUGGAGUUUCAGUUAAUACCCUCCUAAUUGGUUCCAACAGACUUCACUUAGUCCCAGUACUCCCAGUAUACCAGCUUGCCUUGUUGAGCUAGCGUUAUAACAUUUCCUUCGUGGACCCUCCCUACACUACGCUCUUGAGCCAAGCAGAAUAGGGACAAAUUUAAUUUUCUACAAGAAAUUUAACACUACCUUUUCGUAAAAUAGAUAUUAAGUAAAUUACUGUUAACAACUGUGUGCAAACACUAAACAGUGAGGCGGCCAUGACCCAGUUGUGAGAUGCAAUGCCAAUAACGAAGGCUGUUUCUUACUCGAGUGCGUUUCAGGCCAUUUUACGUUAUAAUAUUAAAGAUUAUCCCAUGUAAGCAGCCGUCUAUGAUGUAAUAAAUUUUACAGAAGUAACUACGGACAUUGUAUCAAAAUUCGAGUUGUAAAAACAUGCCAAACUUCAAUUAGAACAUUAAAAUGUCGUUGAAAUGAUUAUUGCUGUGUCAUGCUUUGUAUCGUGAUUCGAAGUCCAACCA
This is a long non-coding RNA of Armigeres subalbatus, 843 nucleotides long. RefSeq lists it as uncharacterized. The transcript is spliced from 3 exons. Lineage: Eukaryota; Metazoa; Arthropoda; Insecta; Diptera; Culicidae. The record is from RefSeq and is a predicted model, not a curated record.